CAGUCGAGCGGCAGCGCGGGGCAACCUGGCGGCGAGCGGCGAACGGGUGAGUAAUGCAUCGGAACAUGUCCAUUCGUGGGGGAUAGCCCGGCGAAAGCCGGAUUAAUACCGCAUACGCCCGAGAGGGGAAAGCCGGGGACUCGCAAGGGCCUGGCGCGAUUGGGUUGGCCGAUGUCCGAUUAGCUAGUUGGUGAGGUAAAGGCUCACCAAGGCGAUGAUCGGUAGCUGGUCUGAGAGGAUGAUCAGCCACACUGGGACUGAGACACGGCCCAGACUCCUACGGGAGGCAGCAGUGGGGAAUUUUGGACAAUGGGGGCAACCCUGAUCCAGCCAUUCCGCGUGAGUGAAGAAGGCCUUCGGGUUGUAAAGCUCUUUUGUCCGGAACGAAACGGUUAGCGUGAAUAUCGCUGACUACUGACGGUACCGGAAGAAUAAGCACCGGCUAACUACGUGCCAGCAGCCGCG
This 465-nucleotide ribosomal RNA is filed under the name uncultured soil bacterium. Its description in RNAcentral is "bacterial SSU rRNA". It matches the Rfam family "Bacterial small subunit ribosomal RNA", at positions 59 to 519 of the family's 1533-position model. The record is from RNAcentral.